RNAcentral lists this long non-coding RNA (1116 nucleotides) under Carassius auratus (goldfish). Its description in RNAcentral is "lncRNA (ENSCARG00000042785.1)". Lineage: Eukaryota; Metazoa; Chordata; Actinopteri; Cypriniformes; Cyprinidae. The record is from RNAcentral.
AUGUUCUUGUGCAAACACUGUGGCGUCUCUGUGGAGACAUUAUACGCCUUUAUUAAUCAUGCCAAAGGGCAUAAAAACACGGCGAACUUCAGGUUUUCGUGUGCAGUUCCCGAAUGCCCAUGCACUUUCCAAAGCCUCUCCGCCCUUCAGUCUCACAUUUACCGCAAACACAGAAAGUCCGCCAAAAAUCCGAACAGAUCAGAACAGCAAGAUCUGAAUUCUAGAUGCAGUGUUGAAGGCUGUGCGUUCGUGUCGACCAAAUUCGCCAGUCUUUGUGAACAUCUAAAAUGGCAUAUUCGAGAUGGCAAAAAAAUUGAAUGUCCAAUUACUGGCUGUAAAAAAUAUUUUCGAGUGAAGUCGUCAUUUUCAGCACACCUCAGUAGAAAACAUAAAAACGAUUUAGAGAAAUCUGUUUGUGCAGAUAUCACUGAGAUUUCUGUUGCUGUGCCAGAUGUUGUGAAUACUGAAGACUUUGAUGAUGUGGAAUUUCAAGAGAGUAGUGUAGCCAUUCAGCUCGACAAAGACAAAUUUCUGACAAAUUUGGCUUUAUUUUAUUUGAGGAUGCAGUCAAAAAUGAUUCUGCCAGCUACAACAAUUCAGAUUUUAAUUGAUGAGUUCAUGGAGGUGCAUACAAAUAGCAUGAUGCAUACCUUGUCCAAAGUUAAUGAAGAAUUGACAAAGCUAAAAAUUCCAGACUGUCAAAUAAGUGAAAUAAUAAGUGGCUUAUCUAAAGAAAACUUACUUAAGAUGUAUAAUGAGGGAUAUUUUAAGUCAGAUCAGACUCGGAAGUCCUUUUUCAAAAAACAUUUCAAUUAUGUGGAGCCUGUGCAGGUGUACCUAGGCUGUGAUGCAUCAGGGAAAGAGCGCUUUUGUCAGUACAUACCAGUAAAAGACACUCUGAAGGCAUUUUUGAACAAUGGAUCUGUUAAAGAGCAGUAUUAUAAGGCCAAGGAACAAACAACACAAAAUCCCCAUGUACUUGAGGAUAUAAGGGAUGGGAGAAAUUUUAAAGAAAACACUCUUUUUAAAGAGUCUUCAUCAGUAGUGUCUCUAAUUUUAUAUCAAGAUGCAUUCGAGGUAGUUAAUCCGCUUGGCUCUGGAAGAAAAAAACACAAA